Molecule: ribosomal RNA, 585 nt
Filed under: uncultured bacterium
Lineage: Bacteria
Description: partial 16S ribosomal RNA
Rfam family: Bacterial small subunit ribosomal RNA
Source: RNAcentral
UGGGGAAUUUUGGACAAUGGGCGAAAGCCUGAUCCAGCAAUGCCGCGUGUGUGAAGAAGGCCUUCGGGUUGUAAAGCACUUUUGUCCGGAAAGAAAUCCUUGGCUCUAAUACAGUCGGGGGAUGACGGUACCGGAAGAAUAAGCACCGGCUAACUACGUGCCAGCAGCCGCGGUAAUACGUAGGGUGCAAGCGUUAAUCGGAAUUACUGGGCGUAAAGCGUGCGCAGGCGGUUUGCUAAGACCGAUGUGAAAUCCCCGGGCUCAACCUGGGAACUGCAUUGGUGACUGGCAGGCUAGAGUAUGGCAGAGGGGGGUAGAAUUCCACGUGUAGCAGUGAAAUGCGUAGAGAUGUGGAGGAAUACCGAUGGCGAAGGCAGCCCCCUGGGCCAAUACUGACGCUCAUGCACGAAAAGCGUGGGGAGCAAACAGGAUUAGAUACCCUGGUAGUCCACGCCCUAAACGAUGUCAACUAGUUGUUGGGGAUUCAUUUCCUUAGUAACGUAGCUAACGCGUGAAGUUGACCGCCUGGGGAGUACGGUCGCAAGAUUAAAACUCAAAUGAAUUGACGGGGUCAUAGCUGUUUCC